RNAcentral lists this long non-coding RNA (705 nucleotides) under Coturnix japonica (Japanese quail). RNAcentral describes it as "lncRNA (ENSCJPG00005008623.1)". The record is from RNAcentral. Lineage: Eukaryota; Metazoa; Chordata; Aves; Galliformes; Phasianidae.
UACAGUAUGAGAUCAUUUCUCAUCAUUCUGGUAAUAUAUUCUCUUAUUACUCAGGCAGGUCUGCCUUGAAAUGGAAAUGCUGGAAGAAGAAUACAAGCAGGAUUUGGUCUAUAACUUCCAGAUCACUGCUUGUUAUUCUUGAUACUGGCUUGGAAAAGGAGAUACGUUCCUAUAUAAUCGUGGACACACCAGUUUCCAAACAUCACCAGGGCAAUCUUUCUUGCUGCCAUGCUCUGUGCAGUUUUGCAACUGCUUCUCUUGUAGCAAAGGUGCAGGAGUUUCAGCAGGAGCUUCUCUUUGAAAAGGCUGCAGAAGAGGAGUCAACAUCUUGGGAUAUUUACUGAGUUCAGCUAUCUCAAGCCAGUAAAUUCUCCUGAAAAAAGAAGGAUGUUCAUCUCCUGCUUGUCUAUAUCUCUGUGACUGAGGUCUCAUAAACUAAAGGCUUCAGGCAGUUGUUCAUUUUCAAAAGGAAGGUGAACACCCAUGAGCUAGCUUCUUUAAUUUAGAUUGAUUUUGGUCUAAACUGUGAUGUUUGUAAGCAUGAUUACCAUUUAAGACUGCUGUCAUUUAGCCAGCAAACAAUGCACAUAACAACCACUUUGUACUUGUCAAAAACAACAUUCUGCUUUGGUUUGUUUGCUUUUUCCUCUUAAAUGUAAUGUUGUUUAAAAUAAAAGCUGUGCAUAUGGUAGUGAUAUAAUAAAU